CGCCACCACCGCCACCGGAGUCGCGGGCCAGCCGGGCAGCCUCCGCGGGCCCCGGCCGGGGCGGGGGGCGCGGGCCACAGGCCCCUGCUCCGGCCGCCGCUUGCAGACCGCGGGCGCCGAUGUCGCCCGCGCCCCGCUAGGCUGAGCCUCGGGUCGGGCGAGGAGCCGCCGCAGCCGCCGCCGCCCGAGCCGCGGGCAGGAGCCUCGGGAGCCGCCGCCGCCGCCGCCGCCGCCCGGCCGGGCCCCGCCGCCGCCCGCGCGCCCCCGGGCCCCCGACACACAUGAGAUUCUUCAGGCUCACUUUCAAGUGCUUCGUGGACUGCUUCUGACUGCGCCGCCCGCGCCCCGCACCCCGCCGCCCGCCCGCCGCCCCGUCCCCCGGCCCGGCCGCCCCCCGGCCCCCGGCCGGCCCGCGCCCUCGGGGCCCUCCCCGGUGCCGCCGGUGCCCCCCGCCUGACCGCCGCCCCCCGUGAGGCGCCGCGACCCCGGCCCGGCCGUGCGGCCCGCCGAGGCCAUGGCGAAGAAGAGCGCCGAGAACGGCAUCUAUAGCGUGUCCGGCGACGAGAAGAAGGGCCCCCUCAUCGCGCCCGGGCCCGACGGGGCCCCGGCCAAGGGCGACGGCCCCGUGGGCCUGGGGACACCCGGCGGCCGCCUGGCCGUGCCGCCGCGCGAGACCUGGACGCGCCAGAUGGACUUCAUCAUGUCGUGCGUGGGCUUCGCCGUGGGCUUGGGCAACGUGUGGCGCUUCCCCUACCUGUGCUACAAGAACGGCGGAGGUGUGUUCCUUAUUCCCUACGUCCUGAUCGCCCUGGUUGGAGGAAUCCCCAUUUUCUUCUUAGAGAUCUCGCUGGGCCAGUUCAUGAAGGCCGGCAGCAUCAAUGUCUGGAACAUCUGUCCCCUGUUCAAAGGCCUGGGCUACGCCUCCAUGGUGAUCGUCUUCUACUGCAACACCUACUACAUCAUGGUGCUGG
This 971-nucleotide long non-coding RNA is filed under the name Homo sapiens (human). RNAcentral describes it as "long non-coding RNA NONHSAT223124.1". The record is from RNAcentral. Lineage: Eukaryota; Metazoa; Chordata; Mammalia; Primates; Hominidae.